This 207-nucleotide long non-coding RNA is filed under the name Elaeis guineensis (African oil palm). RNAcentral describes it as "long non-coding RNA (EGUI_LNC056594)". Lineage: Eukaryota; Viridiplantae; Streptophyta; Magnoliopsida; Arecales; Arecaceae. The record is from RNAcentral.
AGGAAGAUAAAAAGAAAAGUUCUUCUUCUCUUCAUGAUGAUUUGGUUCAGAUCCCUUCAGAUCUGUGCAAAAGAGUUCGUGCAGCCUUCAUCCUCUUUGAGUUCUGGAAGAGGAUUUAGAUCCAAAGCUGAAGAGCGAGAUCUGUAAGGUGCUAGCAUACUGGUAGACUUGAUGCUUUGAUCAAAUAUUUCUGUGUGGAUACCAGCA